RNAcentral lists this long non-coding RNA (366 nucleotides) under Medicago truncatula (barrel medic). Its description in RNAcentral is "long non-coding RNA (MTRU_LNC003092)". Lineage: Eukaryota; Viridiplantae; Streptophyta; Magnoliopsida; Fabales; Fabaceae. The record is from RNAcentral.
AUGACAUUAGGAUGCAGGGUUGAUCACAAUUAACAAUGAUGGCAAUAUCUUUACCACUAAUAAUGAUUUUUAUGUCACGACCAACAUUAGGAUUAGACCAAACUGCUUAAUUUUAUGUGUAUAUUUUAUUAUCAAUAUUAGAGUCUGAAUUUGGUUCUAUAAAGUUUACAAUUUGCAGGAUGUUCACAUUAAUCACCUGUUGUACUUGAACACGUAUAGGUAAGUUUCAGUUAUGAAAUACAAUUUAGGUUUUAUGAAACUCUAUUUUUUUUUUUUUUUUUUUUUUUUUUUCCUGACUUGGUCUGUAUGUUGUAAUUAUUAUAGGGUGAAGGCUAAGUUUUCCCCAUAUUGCAAGGCUGAUUUGAC